This 2912-nucleotide ribosomal RNA is filed under the name Staphylococcus aureus. RNAcentral's name for it is "bacterial LSU rRNA". It matches the Rfam family "Bacterial large subunit ribosomal RNA". The record is from RNAcentral. Lineage: Bacteria; Bacillati; Bacillota; Bacilli; Caryophanales; Staphylococcaceae.
UUAAGGGCGCACGGUGGAUGCCUUGGCACUAGAAGCCGAUGAAGGACGUUACUAACGACGAUAUGCUUUGGGGAGCUGUAAGUAAGCUUUGAUCCAGAGAUUUCCGAAUGGGGAAACCCAGCAUGAGUUAUGUCAUGUUAUCGAUAUGUGAAUACAUAGCAUAUCAGAAGGCACACCCGGAGAACUGAAACAUCUUAGUACCCGGAGGAAGAGAAAGAAAAUUCGAUUCCCUUAGUAGCGGCGAGCGAAACGGGAAGAGCCCAAACCAACAAGCUUGCUUGUUGGGGUUGUAGGACACUCUAUACGGAGUUACAAAGGACGACAUUAGACGAAUCAUCUGGAAAGAUGAAUCAAAGAAGGUAAUAAUCCUGUAGUCGAAAAUGUUGUCUCUCUUGAGUGGAUCCUGAGUACGACGGAGCACGUGAAAUUCCGUCGGAAUCUGGGAGGACCAUCUCCUAAGGCUAAAUACUCUCUAGUGACCGAUAGUGAACCAGUACCGUGAGGGAAAGGUGAAAAGCACCCCGGAAGGGGAGUGAAAUAGAACCUGAAACCGUGUGCUUACAAGUAGUCAGAGCCCGUUAAUGGGUGAUGGCGUGCCUUUUGUAGAAUGAACCGGCGAGUUACGAUUUGAUGCAAGGUUAAGCAGUAAAUGUGGAGCCGUAGCGAAAGCGAGUCUGAAUAGGGCGUUUAGUAUUUGGUCGUAGACCCGAAACCAGGUGAUCUACCCUUGGUCAGGUUGAAGUUCAGGUAACACUGAAUGGAGGACCGAACCGACUUACGUUGAAAAGUGAGCGGAUGAACUGAGGGUAGCGGAGAAAUUCCAAUCGAACCUGGAGAUAGCUGGUUCUCUCCGAAAUAGCUUUAGGGCUAGCCUCAAGUGAUGAUUAUUGGAGGUAGAGCACUGUUUGGACGAGGGGCCCCUCUCGGGUUACCGAAUUCAGACAAACUCCGAAUGCCAAUUAAUUUAACUUGGGAGUCAGAACAUGGGUGAUAAGGUCCGUGUUCGAAAGGGAAACAGCCCAGACCACCAGCUAAGGUCCCAAAAUAUAUGUUAAGUGGAAAAGGAUGUGGCGUUGCCCAGACAACUAGGAUGUUGGCUUAGAAGCAGCCAUCAUUUAAAGAGUGCGUAAUAGCUCACUAGUCGAGUGACACUGCGCCGAAAAUGUACCGGGGCUAAACAUAUUACCGAAGCUGUGGAUUGUCCUUUGGACAAUGGUAGGAGAGCGUUCUAAGGGCGUUGAAGCAUGAUCGUAAGGACAUGUGGAGCGCUUAGAAGUGAGAAUGCCGGUGUGAGUAGCGAAAGACGGGUGAGAAUCCCGUCCACCGAUUGACUAAGGUUUCCAGAGGAAGGCUCGUCCGCUCUGGGUUAGUCGGGUCCUAAGCUGAGGCCGACAGGCGUAGGCGAUGGAUAACAGGUUGAUAUUCCUGUACCACCUAUAAUCGUUUUAAUCGAUGGGGGGACGCAGUAGGAUAGGCGAAGCGUGCGAUUGGAUUGCACGUCUAAGCAGUAAGGCUGAGUAUUAGGCAAAUCCGGUACUCGUUAAGGCUGAGCUGUGAUGGGGAGAAGACAUUGUGUCUUCGAGUCGUUGAUUUCACACUGCCGAGAAAAGCCUCUAGAUAGAAAAUAGGUGCCCGUACCGCAAACCGACACAGGUAGUCAAGAUGAGAAUUCUAAGGUGAGCGAGCGAACUCUCGUUAAGGAACUCGGCAAAAUGACCCCGUAACUUCGGGAGAAGGGGUGCUCUUUAGGGUUAACGCCCAGAAGAGCCGCAGUGAAUAGGCCCAAGCGACUGUUUAUCAAAAACACAGGUCUCUGCUAAACCGUAAGGUGAUGUAUAGGGGCUGACGCCUGCCCGGUGCUGGAAGGUUAAGAGGAGUGGUUAGCUUCUGCGAAGCUACGAAUCGAAGCCCCAGUAAACGGCGGCCGUAACUAUAACGGUCCUAAGGUAGCGAAAUUCCUUGUCGGGUAAGUUCCGACCCGCACGAAAGGCGUAACGAUUUGGGCACUGUCUCAACGAGAGACUCGGUGAAAUCAUAGUACCUGUGAAGAUGCAGGUUACCCGCGACAGGACGGAAAGACCCCGUGGAGCUUUACUGUAGCCUGAUAUUGAAAUUCGGCACAGCUUGUACAGGAUAGGUAGGAGCCUUUGAAACGUGAGCGCUAGCUUACGUGGAGGCGCUGGUGGGAUACUACCCUAGCUGUGUUGGCUUUCUAACCCGCACCACUUAUCGUGGUGGGAGACAGUGUCAGGCGGGCAGUUUGACUGGGGCGGUCGCCUCCUAAAAGGUAACGGAGGCGCUCAAAGGUUCCCUCAGAAUGGUUGGAAAUCAUUCAUAGAGUGUAAAGGCAUAAGGGAGCUUGACUGCGAGACCUACAAGUCGAGCAGGGUCGAAAGACGGACUUAGUGAUCCGGUGGUUCCGCAUGGAAGGGCCAUCGCUCAACGGAUAAAAGCUACCCCGGGGAUAACAGGCUUAUCUCCCCCAAGAGUUCACAUCGACGGGGAGGUUUGGCACCUCGAUGUCGGCUCAUCGCAUCCUGGGGCUGUAGUCGGUCCCAAGGGUUGGGCUGUUCGCCCAUUAAAGCGGUACGCGAGCUGGGUUCAGAACGUCGUGAGACAGUUCGGUCCCUAUCCGUCGUGGGCGUAGGAAAUUUGAGAGGAGCUGUCCUUAGUACGAGAGGACCGGGAUGGACAUACCUCUGGUGUACCAGUUGUCGUGCCAACGGCAUAGCUGGGUAGCUAUGUGUGGACGGGAUAAGUGCUGAAAGCAUCUAAGCAUGAAGCCCCCCUCAAGAUGAGAUUUCCCAACUUCGGUUAUAAGGAUCCCUCAAAGAUGAUGAGGUUAAUAGGUUCGAGGUGGAAGCAUGGUGACAUGUGGAGCUGACGAAUACUAAUCGAUCGAAGACUUAAUC